AUGAAUAGAAAUAGCCAUAAAUAUGCAAAGGGAGAAAGAAAUCCAUUAGGAAAUACUUAUUGCCAAUCCUCUAAGGAACAUGAGAUGGAAAAUUCUAAUGAGCUUACCAUAAAACUUCCCUGGCUCAGAGACGUGACUUUUCUGAGUUCCUUCAUAUUUCACUGUAUCUCUGGUAAAGCUACUGGUCAUCACUGCCCAACUAUGCAUCCCAUAUGGUUUUGUGAAGCUGCCAAUCAUAGGACCCUACUCCCUGGCCUAACGGUGGACAUGCAACACAGGCAGGACCAAGCAGAGUAUAAUAUCUUCUUGACCAUGAUGGUUGGUCCGGGGAUAGGUAAGUGAGUCAAGUCACUCGUAAUUUUCCCUGGAAAUAUUCAAAAUGAAGCUGAAAAAAAUAUCUUCUCUUUUGGGAACGAUAACUGGGAUGAUAUAAGCCCCAAACUGCUGGCAGAUAGGUUUUCUGCCAGUGGAAAAUAGCCCAUCUGUUAUAGCAGAGAGCGAAGCCAAGUAGAAGUAAGUAAACAUGAGACGGAGUGAACAAGAAAGAAAAUCCUGAUGGUACUGAGUCCCCGUUUGAAUUUUCGAAGCUCCAGAACCUAUCUGGUUCCUGAAGGUCUUCUGUCAAAUCUCAACAUUUUCCUAGUAUAUUUAUAAUAAUAUAGACAUAGCUAUAGAGAUAUAACUGUGGGGAAUAUUUGGCCUUUCUCUGCCCACCUCUCUCCUGGUUACCCCACCCAGUAGAGGAAAGGAAGAGAUACCACCCCGAUUAGUUAGGACCCCAGACACAUUGAGGGUUAUGACUUAUUAUUGGGUGAUUUCACUCUUAGUGAUGGUGAUUAUUGUGGGGAUGGCAUGGUGGUGACAAGAGGGCUCAUCUUUGUAAUAAUAGCACUGCUCCUGGGUGUGCCAAAAGUGCCUGGAUGUCCUGAAGUUAUCCUAGUUAUGAUUUUCCUCUGCAGGCGAGGUGGGGCUCAGUGUCUAGGAAAGGAGGUGGUAGAGAACUCAUAGCUGGUAUGGAAUAAUAGAAUCUGAGCAGACAAACUGCACGAGUUAUUUUACACAAACUCUAAGGGAGUUAUGGCAAACUCUUAUGGCAGAAAGCAAAGAAGAACUAAAGAGCCUCUUGAUGAAAGUGAAAGGGGAGAGUGAAAAAGUUGGCUUAAAGCUCAACAUUCAGAAAACUAAGAUCAUG
This 1192-nucleotide long non-coding RNA is filed under the name Bos grunniens (domestic yak). RNAcentral describes it as "lncRNA (ENSBGRG00000009842.1)". Lineage: Eukaryota; Metazoa; Chordata; Mammalia; Artiodactyla; Bovidae. The record is from RNAcentral.